This 253-nucleotide ribosomal RNA is filed under the name uncultured bacterium. Its description in RNAcentral is "partial 16S ribosomal RNA". It matches the Rfam family "Bacterial small subunit ribosomal RNA", at positions 524 to 776 of the family's 1533-position model. The record is from RNAcentral.
UACAGAGGUCUCAAGCGUUGUUCGGAUUCAUUGGGCGUAAAGGGUGCGUAGGUGGCGCCGUAAGUCGGGUGUGAAAUUUCGGAGCUUAACUCCGAAACUGCAUUCGAUACUGCGGUGCUUGAGGACUGGAGAGGAGACUGGAAUUCAUGGUGUAGCAGUGAAAUGCGUAGAGAUCAUGAGGAAGACCAGUGGCGAAGGCGACUCUCUGGCCUGUAACUGACACUGAGGCGCGAAAGCGUGGGGAGCGAACAGG